GCAGCCGCGGUAAUACGGAGGGUGCAAGCGUUAAUCGGAAUAACUGGGCGUAAAGGGCAUGCAGGCGGUUUAUCAAGUAGGAUGUGAAAGCCCCGGGCUCAACCUGGGAAUUGCAUUCUAAACUGAUAGACUAGAGUAUUGCAGGGGGAGACGGAAUUCCAGGUGUAGCGGUGGAAUGCGUAGAUAUCUGGAAGAACACCAAAGGCGAAGGCAGUCUCCUGGGCAAAUACUGACGCUCAUAUGCGAAAGCGUGGGUAGCAAACAGGAUUAGAUACCCC
Molecule: ribosomal RNA, 278 nt
Filed under: uncultured Rikenellaceae bacterium
Lineage: Bacteria; Pseudomonadati; Bacteroidota; Bacteroidia; Bacteroidales; Rikenellaceae
Description: partial 16S ribosomal RNA
Rfam family: Bacterial small subunit ribosomal RNA
Source: RNAcentral